This 253-nucleotide ribosomal RNA is filed under the name uncultured bacterium. RNAcentral's name for it is "partial 16S ribosomal RNA". It matches the Rfam family "Bacterial small subunit ribosomal RNA", at positions 524 to 776 of the family's 1533-position model. The record is from RNAcentral.
UACGUAGGGUGCAAGCGUUGUCCGGAAUUAUUGGGCGUAAAGAGCGUGUAGGCGGUUUGGUAGGUCCGCUGUGAAAACUCGAGGCUCAACCUCGAGACGCCGGUGGAAACCAUCAGACUAGAGUCCGGAAGAGGAGAGUGGAAUUCCUGGUGUAGCGGUGAAAUGCGCAGAUAUCAGGACGAACACCCGUGGCUAAGGCGGCUCUCUAGUACGGUACUGACGCUGAGACGCGAAAGCGUGGGGAGCGAACAGG